This 308-nucleotide ribosomal RNA is filed under the name Clostridioides difficile. RNAcentral's name for it is "bacterial SSU rRNA". It matches the Rfam family "Bacterial small subunit ribosomal RNA", at positions 1217 to 1524 of the family's 1533-position model. The record is from RNAcentral. Lineage: Bacteria; Bacillati; Bacillota; Clostridia; Peptostreptococcales; Peptostreptococcaceae.
CACACGUGCUACAAUGGGUAGUACAGAGGGUUGCCAAACCGUAAGGUGGAGCUAAUCCCUUAAAGCUACUCUCAGUUCGGAUUGUAGGCUGAAACUCGCCUACAUGAAGCUGGAGUUACUAGUAAUCGCAGAUCAGAAUGCUGCGGUGAAUGCGUUCCCGGGUCUUGUACACACCGCCCGUCACACCACGGGAGUUGGAGACGCCCGAAGCCGAUUAUCUAACCUUUUGGAAGAAGUCGUCGAAGGUGGAAUCAAUAACUGGGGUGAAGUCGUAACAAGGUAGCCGUAUCGGAAGGUGCGGCUGGAUC